Molecule: non-coding RNA, 87 nt
Organism: Beta vulgaris subsp. vulgaris (sugar beet)
Lineage: Eukaryota; Viridiplantae; Streptophyta; Magnoliopsida; Caryophyllales; Amaranthaceae
Source: Rfam
GUUGAGGGGAAUGUUGUGUGGCUCGAAGUCAUUCAUACAUCAUGUCUUAACAUGAAUGAUUUCGGACCAGGCUUCAUUCCCCUCAAC